This 253-nucleotide ribosomal RNA is filed under the name uncultured bacterium. RNAcentral describes it as "partial 16S ribosomal RNA". It matches the Rfam family "Bacterial small subunit ribosomal RNA", at positions 524 to 776 of the family's 1533-position model. The record is from RNAcentral.
UACAGAGGUCUCAAGCGUUGUUCGGAUUCAUUGGGCGUAAAGCGCGUGUAGGCGGCUUGGCAAGUCGGGUGUGAAAGCCCUCAGCUCAACUGAGGAAGUGCGCCCGAAACUGCUGUGCUUGAGUGUCGGAGAGGGUGGCGGAAUUCCCCAAGUAGAGGUGAAAUUCGUAGAUAUGGGGAGGAACACCGGUGGCGAAGGCGGCCACCUGGACGACCACUGACGCUGAGACGCGAAAGCGUGGGGAGCAAACAGG